Long non-coding RNA from Dermochelys coriacea (leatherback sea turtle), 195 nucleotides. RefSeq lists it as uncharacterized. Lineage: Eukaryota; Metazoa; Chordata; Testudines; Dermochelyidae. The record is from RefSeq and is a predicted model, not a curated record. The transcript is spliced from 3 exons.
CUUAAAUUGUUUCUGGCAAAAAAAAAAAUUCAUUCAAACCUAAUCCCCUUUAUUUACAUUAAUUCUUAUGGGGAAAUUGGAUUCGCUUAACAUCAUUUCGCUUAAAGUAGCAUUUUUCAGGAACAGAAUUACAAUGUUAAGCGAGUAGUUACUAAAAAGAAAAGGAGUACUUGUGGCACCUUAGAGACUAACAAA